RNAcentral lists this ribosomal RNA (518 nucleotides) under uncultured soil bacterium. Its description in RNAcentral is "bacterial SSU rRNA". It matches the Rfam family "Bacterial small subunit ribosomal RNA", at positions 26 to 517 of the family's 1533-position model. The record is from RNAcentral.
AGAGUGAACGCUGGCGGCAGGCCUAACACAUGCAAGUCGAACGGCAGCACAGGGGAGCUUGCUCCCUGGGUGGCGAGUGGCGGACGGGUGAGGAAUGCGUCGGAAUCUGCCUUUUCGUGGGGGAUAACGUAGGGAACUUACGCUAAUACCGCAUGCGACCCUGGACCGGGAGGUUCAGGGUGAAAGCGGGGGACCUUCGGGCCUCGCGCGGAAAGAUGAGCCGACGCCGGAUUAGCUAGUUGGCGGGGUAACGGCCCACCAAGGCGACGAUCCGUAGCUGGUCUGAGAGGAUGAUCAGCCACACUGGAACUGAGACACGGUCCAGACUCCUACGGGAGGCAGCAGUGGGGAAUAGUUGGACAAUGGGCGCAAGCCUGAUCCAGCCAUGCCGCGUGAGUGAAGAAGGCCUUCGGGUGUAAAGCUCGUUUUUGUUAGGAAAGUAAAGCUUUACGGUUAAUAACCGGGUAGUUCUGACGUACCCAAAGAAUAAGCACCGGCUAACUUCGUGCCAGCAGCCG